AGUGAACGCUGGCGGCAGGCCUAACACAUGCAAGUCGAGCGGCAGCGGGUCCUUCGGGAUGCCGGCGAGCGGCGGACGGGUGAGGAAUACAUCGGAAUCUGCCCUGUCGUGGGGGAUAACCUAGGGAAACUUAGGCUAAUACCGCAUACGACCUGCGGGUGAAAGCGGGGGAUCGCAAGACCUCGCGCGACAGGAUGAGCCGAUGUCGAUUAGCUAGUUGGCGGGGUAAAGGCCCACCAAGGCGACGAUCGGUAGCUGGUCUGAGAGGAUGAUCAGCCACACUGGGACUGAGACACGGCCCAGACUCCUACGGGAGGCAGCAGUGGGGAAUAUUGGACAAUGGGCGCAAGCCUGAUCCAGCCAUGCCGCGUGGGUGAGGAAGGCCUUCGGGUUGUAAAGCCCUUUUGUCCGGGAAGAAAUCGUCUGGGCUAAUACCCCGGGCGGAUGACGGUACCGGAAGAAUAAGCACCGGCUAACUUCGUG
RNAcentral lists this ribosomal RNA (483 nucleotides) under uncultured bacterium. Its description in RNAcentral is "partial 16S ribosomal RNA". It matches the Rfam family "Bacterial small subunit ribosomal RNA", at positions 30 to 507 of the family's 1533-position model. The record is from RNAcentral.